UCGCCCAUUAAAGCGGUACGCGAGCUGGGUUCAGAACGUCGUGAGACAGUUCGGUCCCUAUCUGUCGCGGGCGCAGGAGAUUUGAGAGGAUCUGUCCCUAGUACGAGAGGACCGGGAUGGACGCACCACUGGAGUACCAGUUGUACCGCCAGGUGCACGGCUGGAUAACCAAGUGCGGAACGGAUAAGCGCUGAAAGCAUCUAAGUGCGAAGCCGACCUCAAGAAGAGAUCUCCCACAGUAUUAAACUGGUAAGACCCCUCAUAGAUGAUGAGGUAGAUAGGCCAGGUGUGUAAGAGCAGCAAUGCUUUUAGCUGACUGGUACUAAUAGGUCGAGGACUUGACCUAU
This 347-nucleotide ribosomal RNA is filed under the name Bacillota bacterium. RNAcentral describes it as "Firmicutes bacterium (anaerobic digester metagenome) partial 23S ribosomal RNA". It matches the Rfam family "Bacterial large subunit ribosomal RNA", at positions 2581 to 2925 of the family's 2925-position model. Lineage: Bacteria; Bacillati; Bacillota. The record is from RNAcentral.